GACGAACGCUGGCGGCGUGCUUAACACAUGCAAGUCGAACGGAACUGCUCCAGCUUGCUGGGGUACACGAGUGGCGAACGGGUGAGUAAGGCGGAGGUGACAUGCCCUGCACUUGAACCUGCCCCUGGGAAGGGAAUAACAAUGCGAAACCGGAGCUCAUCCCGCGGGUGUGGUAAAGUGGCAUCACAUUAAUACCAAAGAUUUUAUCGGUGAAAGAUGGCCUCGCGCCUGAUUAGCUAGUAGGUGAGGUAACGGCUCACCUAGGUGAUGAUCAGUAGCCGGACUGAGAGGUUGAUCGGCCGCAUUGGGACUGAGACACGGCCCAGACUCCUACGGGAGGCAGCAGUGGGGAAUAUUGGGCAAUGGGCGCAAGCCUGACCCAGCAACGCCGCGUGAAGGAAGACGGUCUUCUGAUUGUAAACUUCUUUAGACAGGGACGAAACAAAUGACGGUACCUGUAGAAUAAGCCACGGCUAACUACGUGCCAGCAGCCGCGGGAAUACCUAGGUGGUGAGCGUUAUCCGGAAUUACUGGGGUGUAAAGGGCGUGUAGGCGGCUCUGUAAGUUCUUAAUGUGAGAAUCUUUCU
Molecule: ribosomal RNA, 587 nt
Filed under: uncultured Varibaculum sp.
Lineage: Bacteria; Bacillati; Actinomycetota; Actinomycetes; Actinomycetales; Actinomycetaceae
Description: bacterial SSU rRNA
Rfam family: Bacterial small subunit ribosomal RNA
Source: RNAcentral